GAAGCUGUGGUGUAGUGGUAGAGGGAGUCUCACGCGAAGAAGAGAUCACGGGUUCGAAUCCUGACGGCCGCA
Molecule: non-coding RNA, 72 nt
Organism: Eragrostis curvula (weeping love grass)
Lineage: Eukaryota; Viridiplantae; Streptophyta; Magnoliopsida; Poales; Poaceae
Source: the annotation of a GenBank genome assembly